RNAcentral lists this ribosomal RNA (283 nucleotides) under Streptococcus pneumoniae. RNAcentral's name for it is "partial 23S ribosomal RNA". It matches the Rfam family "Bacterial large subunit ribosomal RNA", at positions 161 to 491 of the family's 2925-position model. The record is from RNAcentral. Lineage: Bacteria; Bacillati; Bacillota; Bacilli; Lactobacillales; Streptococcaceae.
AAUACAUAGGUGCAAGAGGCGAACCAGGGGAACUGAAACAUCUAAGUACCCUGAGGAAAAGAAAUCAACCGAGAUUCCCUUAGUAGUGGCGAGCGAACGGGGACCAGCCCUUAAGUUGAUUUGAGAUUAGUGGAACGCUCUGGAAAGUGCGGCCAUAGUGGGUGAUAGCCCCGUACACGAAAAUCUCUUAUCAAUGAAAUCGAGUAGGACGGAGCACGAGAAACUUUGUCUGAAUAUGGGGGGACCAUCCUCCAAGGCUAAAUACUACUGACUGACCGAUAGU